CAAAUUAGAGCUUGGGAAAGCAUUUCAUUUACAUUGAAAAGAUAUUAAUUUUUAAUUAGUUUGA
This 64-nucleotide transfer RNA is filed under the name Archips betulanus. RNAcentral's name for it is "tRNA-Val". Lineage: Eukaryota; Metazoa; Arthropoda; Insecta; Lepidoptera; Tortricidae. The record is from RNAcentral.